UACGGAGGGUGCAAGCGUUAAUCGGAAUUACUGGGCGUAAAGCGCACGCAGGUGGCUGAGUCAGUCGAUUGUGAAAGCCCUGGGCUUAACCUGGGAAUUGCAGUCGAUACUACUCAGCUAGAGUAUGGGAGAGGGUAGUGGAAUUCCCGGUGUAGCGGUGAAAUGCGUAGAGAUGUGGAGGAACACCGAUGGCGAAGGCAGCCCCCUGGGUUAACACUGACGCUCAGGCACGAAAGCGUGGGGAGCAAACAGG
RNAcentral lists this ribosomal RNA (253 nucleotides) under uncultured bacterium. Its description in RNAcentral is "partial 16S ribosomal RNA". It matches the Rfam family "Bacterial small subunit ribosomal RNA", at positions 524 to 776 of the family's 1533-position model. The record is from RNAcentral.